UACGAAGGGUGCAAACGUUGCUCGGAAUCAUUGGGCGUAAAGCGCACGUAGGCGGCUUUGCAAGUCGGAUGUGAAAUCCCUCGGCUCAACCAAGGAAGUGCAUCCGAAACUGCAGAGCUUGAGUACUUAAGAGGAUCGCGGAAUUCCCGGUGUAGAGGUGAAAUUCGUAGAUAUCGGGAGGAACACCAGUGGCGAAGGCGGCGAUCUGGGAAGAUACUGACGCUGAGGUGCGAAAGCGUGGGGAGCAAACAGGG
Molecule: ribosomal RNA, 254 nt
Filed under: uncultured bacterium
Lineage: Bacteria
Description: partial 16S ribosomal RNA
Rfam family: Bacterial small subunit ribosomal RNA
Source: RNAcentral